Myotis davidii is the source of this 111-nucleotide long non-coding RNA. RefSeq lists it as uncharacterized. NCBI's taxonomy places the organism in Eukaryota, Metazoa, Chordata, Mammalia, Chiroptera, Vespertilionidae. The record is from RefSeq and is a predicted model, not a curated record. The transcript has 3 exons.
UAAGGAACUAAUAAUUUAAGCACCAAGAUUGUUAGCUCCUCUGGUUCAAAUAGCCCCUCUCUUCAAACUGAGGGACAAGAUAAGCUACUCUCAAGACUUCAUUCUUCCAUA